GGCAACUUAGCUCAGUGCUAGAGUGUUUGCCUAUCAAGCAUAAGACUUGGGGUUGAAUCCCUAUACCU
RNAcentral lists this transfer RNA (68 nucleotides) under Mesocricetus auratus (golden hamster). It matches the Rfam family "tRNA". Rfam says of the family: Transfer RNA (tRNA) molecules are approximately 80 nucleotides in length. Their secondary structure includes four short double-helical elements and three loops (D, anti-codon, and T loops). Further hydrogen bonds mediate the characteristic L-shaped molecular structure. tRNAs have two regions of fundamental functional importance: the anti-codon, which is responsible for specific mRNA codon recognition, and the 3' end, to which the tRNAs corresponding amino acid is attached (by aminoacyl-tRNA synthetases). tRNAs cope with the degeneracy of the genetic code in two manners: having more than one tRNA (with a specific anti-codon) for a particular amino acid; and 'wobble' base-pairing, i.e. permitting non-standard base-pairing at the 3rd anti-codon position. The record is from Rfam by way of RNAcentral. Lineage: Eukaryota; Metazoa; Chordata; Mammalia; Rodentia; Cricetidae.